RNA transcript from Triticum urartu, 1686 nucleotides. It is a transcript of the gene named protein ANTHESIS PROMOTING FACTOR 1-like, with no coding region annotated. The record is from RefSeq and is a predicted model, not a curated record. Lineage: Eukaryota; Viridiplantae; Streptophyta; Magnoliopsida; Poales; Poaceae.
CUCUCAUUCCCCUUCCCUCCCACGCGCCUCCUCUUCUCCCACCCACAUCGCCGCCGCCGCCACCCAUCGCCUCGAACCACGUAGUCGACAUCCAUCCAUUGCUCCAGCGGUGGCCAGAUCAGUCGCAACAGAGCCCCCUCCAGCCCUCCCUCUCUCUCGCGCGUCUGCUUCACGUACGCCGCCUAAUUCCGGCGAGCCCCGGCGUCUCCGCCACCGCGCAACACAGCGCCGAGCUCGCCUCGCUCCGCUGCGUCCUCUCUUCCUGCCGGAUUCGCCGCUCACGGCCACCACCGCUCACCCGCGACCCUGCCCCGUGGUUAGGGUUUCGGGUGUUGGCUCCAACAUCGGCGGCUAUGUCCGCAGAGGACGAGUUGAGUGGGGAAACACCAACACCAUGGACGAGUUGGGUGAGGGGAUGAUCAUGGUGGCGGCCAGAUCCGCCAUGGCUGCAGCAACUUCCACCUCCUCGCUCGCGCCGGGACCCCGACACCAUGAGCUGCUCAUCAAGGGCCGCAUCUCCUUCAUCCUCAUGUCCCAGGAUAAGCAGCAGAAGAGGAGAGUUCAUCCCCUCCUGGCCCGACACCGGCGGCCAUGGGGCUGCGCCUCCUCUCCGCCUCUGCAGAGGAGAGGAGCGGGUACGAGCCUGCAGCUCCUGAUGUGCUUCAAUUCGAUUUGGAGUAGAGCAAUUGAUGUACUCCUACUGCUGCUGUAGAGGAUAGGAUGGACGAGAGCACAUCACACGAUUCGAUUCUGCUAUGCAUCCUAUGAGGAACUCAAAGAAGAAGGGCAUUCCGAACAAAGAAAUCAGCUGGUAGUUUUUUUAGUUGUGAGAAGCUUGAUGAGUUGCACUGCGAAGAAUCGCGAUUGGCACAUAUCCAGUUAUGCUCAGAGUAAGGAUCAGAAGCAGCAUUCAACGAUGCAUUUUCUCCUGUGGUGUCAGUUAAGCAUCAAAAGCAAAUGUGCCAAGCGGUGGACCGUCGUCAUUACUUUCAUGCACCUCUGGGAAGAGGAGAUGACCUGAGGAAAUAUCAGCGGGGGCGUGGAUGUGCGGUUUAGGAAGCGGUUCCGCGCCGGUUGUACGGCGUUCAGGCGCAACCCCGGCGCCCACUGAGUACUGCCUUGGCUACAACCUCCCUUGGUAGGAGUACAACAACAUUAGGCGAUUAGCUAUUUGUGAUGCAAAGGUGUCGGUGGUCGGGUUGAUGCGGACGCGGCUGCGAGCUCGACAUGAGAGCAGCGGGGCAGCGUCGAGCUCACCAGGUCCUCCUGCCCGCCUGCUAAACCUCCAGGUGAUUCGCCAAUGAUGAUCAGUCAACCACUUGCUUCGACGCUAAUGACUACCCAACUAUCUACCAAGAUGUUUCAAUGGUCUUCUGUUUGACCAUUCGCCUUUUGUAGGAAUGCCUUGCUCUGAAAAUUAUGUAGCAUCAAAACUGCUGGAUGCGCUCUUUAACCUUGAUUGCUUUGUCUAAAAAUAACGUACUUAAAGCAUUUUGUGUUGGCAUUUGGUUUGCUAAUUGGGUAGCUUUCUCAAUAUUGAUCUCACUACCAUUAUAGUUACUUAAGCUAUAUUAUGCCCCUGCUUUUAGUACUGAACUUUGUAACCUGAUUGGAUUUUGUCAUCGUAUGAUAUUACUCCUUGGUGUUGAACGUUGUCAUUUUGUUUUUGAACAGACUAAAUACUUC